RNAcentral lists this ribosomal RNA (505 nucleotides) under uncultured bacterium. RNAcentral describes it as "partial 16S ribosomal RNA". It matches the Rfam family "Bacterial small subunit ribosomal RNA", at positions 28 to 507 of the family's 1533-position model. The record is from RNAcentral.
GACGAACGCUGGCGGCGUGCCUAAUACAUGCAAGUAGAACGCACAGUUUAUACCGUAGCUUGCUACACCAUAAACUGUGAGUUGCGAACGGGUGAGUAACGCGUAGGUAACCUGCCUGGUAGCGGGGGAUAACUAUUGGAAACGAUAGCUAAUACCGCAUAAUAUUGAUUAUUGCAUGAUAAUUGAUUGAAAGAUGCUAUUGCAUCACUACUAGAUGGAUCUGCGGUGUAUUAGCUAGUAGGUGAGGUAACGGCUCACCUAGGCGACGAUACAUAGCCGACCUGAGAGGGUGAUCGGCCACACUGGGACUGAGACACGGCCCAGACUCCUACGGGAGGCAGCAGUAGGGAAUCUUCGGCAAUGGACGAAAGUCUGACCGAGCAACGCCGCGUGAGUGAAGAAGGUUUUCGGAUCGUAAAGCUCUGUUGUAAGAGAAGAACGGGUGUGAGAGUGGAAAGUUCACACUGUGGCGGUAUCUUACCAGAAAGGGACGGCUAACUACGUG